This is an RNA transcript of Amphibalanus amphitrite, 6541 nucleotides long. It is a transcript of the gene named ubiquitin-related modifier 1-like, with no coding region annotated. Lineage: Eukaryota; Metazoa; Arthropoda; Thecostraca; Balanomorpha; Balanidae. The record is from RefSeq and is a predicted model, not a curated record. The transcript has 5 exons.
GUGUAAAAAAAAAACCCUGUAUAUAACAGCACGUGUCUGUGUGCAUGCAGGCGCCUUGCAAGCUGAUGUGGGUGUGAGGUGGAUGUGCAUCGGGCCUCGGAGCAUGCUGCAUGCGAAUUGCUAGGCAAGUUGCUUGCGGGCUUGGCUUGAGGAAAAAUCGGGGCUGUGAACAUAGCUUUGAAUCUUGAUCUUGAUUAUACACACAACUAUAAACACGAAAUGGGGCCAGGAAUCUCACCGACAAAUAGCAGGAAAACACCUACAACAAGACAGAUCGCGGACAAAGGGAAAGGUAAGAGAGAUGCAGAGAGGGCGGAGAAGGGAAAAAUGGCCAGGGCAGAAGACAAAGAAAGACGAGUAGUAAUGAGCAAGAAAAUGGAAACAGAGAAAGCCAUUGGAAAACUAGACAACAGUGUCUUUGAGGCUUUUGAACCAGCACACAGAUCAUCAGUUGACCUGAGUAAGGAGGCAAUAUGCAAGGGAGGGCCUGGGCACAAAUGUGGUCUUCCAGUUGGCUACGAAGAUGAGGGAGUGGAAUGUGACCUUUGUCAUCGUUGGUUCCACGCAGCAUGUCAGGAGAUACAUACGGAAGCAUACAAAGCACUCCAGGAACACCCUGACACACUGGCAUGGAUGUGCAAAGCCUGCAGAAACGAGUUAAAGAACAGGAAGUAUCCACACUCAGAAACUGAGUACAGCAAGUUGGAAGCCAAAAUCGAUCAGUUGGCAGAGGCGCUAAAAGACCAAACAAGAAUAAUAAGGAAGUCAGCAAUCGAAAAUGAACAAGCCAUUAGAGAAGUAGGAGAGUUUCAAGGGCGCAAUAUUUCCACAUUGCAAGAGCAGAACGAAGCAAUGAUACAGUGUGUAGAGGAAAUGAAGAGCAGGGAAACGGAGAAGAAGACGGAGAUCAGGAAGACGUAUGCAGAUGUCACAAAAGUGGUAGAAGAAAUAAAAGAACAACAAGAAGUCAUCAAGGGUAACUCUGAAGGUAUCAAAAGAGUGAUACAGAACAAAGAGUUGGAAGAAAGGGCAACAAAUGUGCUGAUACACAAUCUCCCAGAGAGUAAAGCAGAGAAAGGAGAAGACAAAAAACAGGAAGACAUAGUGAAGUUCAAAGAAAUAGCAGAUGCUCUGGGAGUGCGAGACUUUGAAAUUCAGAAGAUUGUCAGAUUGAGGCAAAAACCUACAACGGAGAAAGGAGAUGAAAGAAACGCAAAUCAGAACCAGAAAACGAAACCAAGAAUACUCCUGCUGAAGCUGAGAUCAAAGGAGCACGUGGAGCUUCUGUACAAAAGGAGGUUUGAUCUCAAGAGCAAAGGCAUAGAAAAUACCUACAUUACAAGGGACCUACCUCCCGAAGAAAGGGAGAAGCAGAGAAGACUGAGAGAGGAGUGGCUCAAGAAAGGGCGAGAAACCCAUGUCAUUUCUCGGGGGAGGGUUGUCGAAAGGAAGGGAAACAAAGUAACACAGUAAGAAAGAAAGAAAGCAAGGAUGGAAGGUACAGGAAACAAACAACAAACAAGGGGUCGAAGACCGACAACCAAGAAAGUAGAAAGGUUUACAAAUUGAAUCUCAUUAACAUACAAGGAUUAACAAAGCAAAAGCUGGCAGAACUAGAAGAAUUGUUAGCCUACAGUUGUGACAUCUUAUGUAUUACUGAGACCCACCAGAGAUAUGAUAAACUUGAGAUUGACAAGAACUUGAUCAAGAUAGAGAGCAUGAGAAAACAAAAAGACAAGAAAGGAGGAGGGCUCAUGUUUUUGUAUAAACAAAACAGUGGUGUCGCUUUAAGUAAAGCCCCUUCAGAGAACGAAGAUGUUUUGGAAGUGAGGGGAAGUAUAUUGAACAAACAGGUUAGGAUAAUACUUGUUUACAUGUCAGUUGAAACAAAACCAGAAGACAAAACACGAAAUGAGAAAAUCAAACAAGAGCUUGAAGAGAAGCUAGAAGAAAGUCCAGACAUGGCAACAAUGUUGUUGGGGGAUUUUAAUGGACAUGUAGGGUUCCUAGGAAGCCAAAAAGAGAAUAGGAACGGAAAAUUUGUCAUUGAUGUGAUAAACAAAAACAAUAUGAUUUUACUGAAUGGUGAUGACAUAUGUGAAGGCUUGUAUACAUGGGGAAGUAAAGAAUACAGAAGUGUUAUUGACUAUGUGCUGGUCAACAGCAAGAUGCAUCAGUCUAUCCUUAAGAUGAAAAUUGAUGAAAGUCAAGAACUACUAGAUCUAUCAGAUCACAACAUGAUCACAGUGUUUUUCAAAGAUGAAAAGUCACUGAGUCUCAAUAAAGCUAAAUGGAAAGAUGAAUACUUCUUUAAGACAGACCAAGAAUCAUUGUCGGGCUUCGUGCAAUAGGUACUACAGAGAAUAGAAGCUGAUAACAUAUGCCUAAUGGAAGAUCUCAAUGUGAUAAUGAAGGAUGUGGCAGAGAAAUUGCUUACAAGAAGGUACAGAAGAAAAACUGACAGAAAGAAUGAAAAAAUCAAAGAAAAACCAUGGAUGACCGAAGAAAUACGGAAACAAAUCAAGCAAAGGAAAGCCUUCAACAGACUCAGGAGAAAUGCAAAGUCAGAAGAAGAAAAGAGCAGAUUAUAUGAAAAAUAUUAUGAGCAGAAACGACUGACAAAGCUACUCAUCAAGGAAGAAAUAGCAAAGCAUGAAAAGAAAGUGACUGACGAAAUACGUUAUAGUAGCUACAAAAGCAAGGCACUUUGGGAGAAUAUCAACAAGCUUAAAGGAAAGCAAAAGGAUAACAGUCCAGUUCGCCUAUUCACAGAAGCUGGACAAAUGCUGCAAGGAGAAGAAGAAAAGGAAAACUUAGCAAGUGUCUGGAAGAAAAUCUAUCAAAGACAUGAAAACAAGUUAGAAGAAGUGUGGAACGAUAGGGCGAAGCUAACCUAUACUGCAGAUCUGGAGAAAGAGAAACAGGACCAGAUACAAAUAAAAGGAUAUAGUUUCCCAAUCACACUGAGAGAACAUAUGGAUAUGGCCAUGAACAGUAGGAAGAGGAUGAAGAAGAUGGAAGAUAUACAAAUAACUGAGGAAGAAGUCACCAAAUGUAUAGGCAGGCUCAAGAACAAGUCAGCGGCAGGACCAGAUGAACUCAAGCCAGAACUAUACAAAGCUUUGAUAAAAAAUGACAAAUGCUUGAAGAUACUGACAGGCUGCUACCAAGAAGUCCUCGAGAGAAGUGACACGCCAUCAGAAUGGAAGAUAUCAAGGACGAAAAUGAUACCAAAGACGUCUAAGCCAACUGCCAAAGACUUGAGACCAAUUGCUUUAACGAAUGUGUCAUAUAAGAUCUACAUGUCAAUUCUAAAACAGCGACUAGAAGAUCAUCUAGAAAGCGCAGAGCAAAAGUUAGAGACACAAGCAGGGUUUACGAGAGGAGGAAGGAUAGAGGACAACCUUUUCCUAUUACAGUACUGUGUGGAAGAAAGCUUUAAAAUGAAGGCACCUCUGAUUGUUACUUCAAUUGAUUACAGCAAGGCGUUUGAUUCCAUCGAUAGAGCUAGGAUGGUAGAGGUGCUCAUGAAAUACAAGAUUCACCCCAAAAUGAUUGAUGCUGUGGCAGCCACAUACCAAGGAGACAGAACCUGGAUUGAACUAAAUGAGAACAUUAAGUUAGAGAUUUUAGUAACAAGUGGUAUACGGCAAGGGUGUACAGGAUCAACUGCCUUCUUCAAGCUCAUGACUUAUAUCAUCACAAAAGUAAUGGAGGCAACAGAAGCAGGGUUCAGAAGCUGCAAAUUUACGCUGCCAAUCCUAUUCUUUGCUGACGACGGGCUCCUACUGAACCAUUCUAUUGAAGAAACAGAGACUAGCAUCAGAAGACUGACAGCAAUUAGCAAGGAGUGUGGACUGGACAUAAACAAGAAUAAGAGCAACAUUAUCACAUUUAAUCUGAAAGAACAGCACAGAAGCAUAGAAGAUAUUGAAGUAAAAGAAAACAUAAAAUACUUAGGUCUGAAAGUAACAAAUACAAGGGAUGUGUUCAAAGGGCAGAAAAGAAUCAUGAUUGAAAAGGCACAAAGAAUGGCAAACAUGACCUAUUCAGUAAUUUCAAAAUCAUGCAACAGACUGCUGAUUGGUAAGACCUACUGGAAAUCCCUAGCACUGCCAUCAAUACUGUACGGCUCCAGUGUCAUGACAGUCACAGAGGAAGAGACCAAGAAGCUGCAAGUAAUCGAAAAUGGUGUCUACAGACAGAUCUUGGGGGCUCCAAAAUAUGCACCAAAUGCUGCAUUGAGAGGAGAAAUUGGAGCAUCUCUGAUGACAACAAGGAUUAAAACUGGAAGACUUCAGUACAUGAGAAGCAUAUUGCAAGGAAAAAAUCAACUACUCAAAGAGGUGUUAACAGAAAUGAUGGACGAGGGCAAGAACAAAUGGAUAAAGGUAACCUAUUCCAUUAUUAAGGAAGUCGGACUCAAAGUAAAGGAUUUGUACCAGAUAAGCAAACAAGACCUUAAAACACACAUGCAAAAAUGGGAUGGAAAGAAAUGGAAGGAGGAAUUGUUAACUAAAACUACUCUGUCCCUGUAUAUUGUCUGGAAAAAGGAGAUGAAGGAAGUAACGUUUAUUGACAACCAGCAAGCAUCAACAAUAUUUUUCCAGGCAAGAGCAAACUGUCUUCCUCUAAAUGAGCGCAAGAGAUACAAGAAAGAGGACACAAGAUGUAUGAUGUGCAAUGCAGAAAAUGAAGACCUCGCCCACUUUAUAUUGAAUUGCCCAGCCUACGAAGAAGAAAGAAAAGAAUCAAUGCAUCUUCAGAAACCCUAUGCAAAGGAUAUUUUUGGGGAUAUUUCUGUUUGAGGAGGAAGAUAUCGAAGAAAAGAAAGAAGUAUUGCUUAAGCUGUGGAAGAAAAGAAGACUGCUGGAAAUAAAACAAAGUUCCCCAUCCUAGUUGACCUUCAUCCUCCCAACACCCAAUCCUGUCCCCUAGUGAGAAUCCUAGCCACACAAACCAACCAUAACAAUGCAACCCAUCGAUCAAAGUAAAAGUUAAAGUUUAAGAAAUCAAGGAGGUGCCGAUACAAAGGCUAAACCUCCGAAAACCAUCGCAUCGCAUCGCAUCUUCGCCUCCACCUGGCCGGCUCAUCUCCAUCUGAUGGCCUCGGCCUCCAGCAGCAGCGCCCGCUCUCUGUUCGCCGAAUCGCGCACCAAGCUAGUCGAACGGGUGGCGGGGAACGUGGAGGCCUGUGGGUCCGUGUGUCGACAGGUGGUGCGAGGCUCCAGGUCUCACGAGACACUGCUGGCGGCAGCGCGCGCCACUGCUGCUCAGGAGUCAGCCAUCGACCACACGUGCGGAACAGUUCAGAAGUUACGCAUUCUCGCCACUCACUUGGGCUACCAGUGGGAGUCGAUCGCUCGCUCCGCUCACCAGAUUCCGCCGCUGGCUGAGCAGGCGAGGGCACUCCCGCCGCCCAACUGAGGAGUGAGGGCACUCCCACCACCCAACUGAGCAGGCGAGGGCACUCCCGCCACCCAACUGAGCAGGCGAGGGCACUCCCACCGCCAAACUGAGCAAGACGAGCCUUUACGACCGGACAGACACGGUUAGAGCCGCUCUUCACACCACAAUGCAGCUAACUGUCGAGUUCAGCGGCGGUGCUGAACUCCUCUUCGGGAACGUCAAACAGCACAGAGUAACUCUUCCAGACCGGGGCGACGGAGACUCGGUGUGGACGAUGGAGGGCCUGCUGCCCUGGCUGAGGGAUAACUUGCUGAAGGAGCGGCCAGAGCUCUUCAUGCAGGGGGACACGGUUCGUCCCGGGAUCCUGGUUCUGGUGAAUGACGCAGACUGGGAGCUUCUCGGUCAGCUGAGCUACAAACUGCAGCCGGAUGACACGGUCGUGUUCAUAUCAACACUCCACGGCGGGUAGUCGCUUCGCCCGGGAUGACAGAAGGUAAAGCUGGCUGCACUUGACUCUUCAGGGCGGUUAGGGUUGUCAUCCGUGCUGACAGGUAAAUCUGGCCGUAUAGCGGCUAGUCUAGCCGUUUGGACUGGUGAGAGCUAGGCUGGUCCCAUCAGACACUUCCCUAGUGCGGUUAGCCUAGUCGCCUGGGCUGGCAGAAUGCCAGAUUGACCGUGCUUGAUCUUACUCGUCGCCUAGACGACUCCGCUGACAGGUCAAGACUUAUACAGCAUCCAACUUCACACAAGGUAACUGGCUUAUCCAGCCUGGAAAGUCUCCAUGCUGGUCGCAUUAAACAUCUAUGGAGAUCUCAAUCCUGUCGGUGUUUUCUUGACUGGACAAACGCAUUUGGGGAAAACUGGUCGCGGGAAACUUCGGUCGCGCCAUAGACAUUGGUCAGCCUGGUGCUAUGGCAUGAUGCGUGAGUCGUGACUUGCUCCAUUGUCCCGUGAUAUGUACGGGACGAAUGUGUUUUUGGGGUCACAACGCGUCAUGUGAUUCGUGAGUGCCGAUGCUGUGCCGCUUGUUUUACUGUUGUGGUUUUAUGUAUGGUGUAUGCCUAAUGUUUUGUUUCUAGAAACUUGUAAAAUGAUCGAGUAACGCGUCAAAUAAAUCAUUCUCUAGAUGAUA